AAAAAGAUUUAAAAAAAAAAUGAAAAUACAAAAUAUAUAAAAUAAAAUUUGAGAAAAAGAAGAAAAAAUAAAAAAUGAAGAGGCAAAAAUAUGAAAUAAAAGAAAAAGAAAAAAAUUUAUAGAAAAUUUUAAAACAAAGAAAAAAGUGAACAAAAAAGAAUGAUGGCAUAUAAAAAAAAGUAAAAAAAAGAAGAAAAAUUUGGAAGGAGAAAAAGUUAAUGAAAAAAAUAUAAAAAUGCAAUAGAAAAUAACCAAGAAUGAUAAAAGAAAAAAAGAUAAAAAAAUUAAAAAUUCCAAAACUUUAUAAAAAUUUAUGAAAUUAUGAAUAAAGAAAGAAAAUAAAAUAAGAAAAAAAAUUAAAGCAAAAGAAAAAAGAUAGAUAAAGCACGAAAAAAAAAAAAAAAACAAAAAAUUAAAAAGUAAGAAAAUGAAAAGGACAAAAUUGAAUAAAAAUUUCAAAAAUGAAAUGGAAUGACAAAAUGAAAAAAAAUUAGUUUAAAAAUACAAAAAAUUAAAAAACAUAUAAGACCAAACAAUCUAAAAAGUCUGACAAAAAAUUAAAAAAGAGAAAAGUUAAUGCAAAAUAAAAAAAAAAAAGUAUGAGAAUUUAAAAACGCAAAUAAGAAAUGAAAGGAAAUUUGUGGAAAAAAGAGAAAAGACAAAAGAUUUGGAAUAAAAAAGAGAAAAAUAAAAAUUUUUAAAACAGCGAAAAAAUUAAA
Molecule: long non-coding RNA, 719 nt
Filed under: Durio zibethinus
Lineage: Eukaryota; Viridiplantae; Streptophyta; Magnoliopsida; Malvales; Malvaceae
Description: long non-coding RNA (DZIB_LNC001643)
Source: RNAcentral